CUUACCUACCCUUGACAUGUAUGGAAUCCUGCUGAGAGGUGGGAGUGCCCGAAAGGGAGCCAUAACACAGGUGCUGCAUGGCUGUCGUCAGCUCGUGUCGUGAGAUGUUGGGUUAAGUCCCGCAACGAGCGCAACCCUUGUCCCUAGUUGCUACGCAAGAGCACUCCAGGGAGACUGCCGGUGACAAACCGGAGGAAGGUGGGGAUGACGUCAAGUCCUCAUGGCCCUUAUGGGUAGGGCUUCACACGUCAUACAAUGGUCGGAACAGAGGGUUGCCAAGCCGCGAGGUGGAGCCAAUCCCAGAAAACCGAUCGUAGUCCGGAUCGCAGUCUGCAACUCGACUGCGUGAAGCUGGAAUCGCUAGUAAUCGCGGAUCAGCA
This 380-nucleotide ribosomal RNA is filed under the name Burkholderia sp. VI08. RNAcentral's name for it is "bacterial SSU rRNA". It matches the Rfam family "Bacterial small subunit ribosomal RNA", at positions 970 to 1354 of the family's 1533-position model. The record is from RNAcentral. Lineage: Bacteria; Pseudomonadati; Pseudomonadota; Betaproteobacteria; Burkholderiales; Burkholderiaceae.